This 496-nucleotide ribosomal RNA is filed under the name uncultured bacterium. RNAcentral describes it as "partial 16S ribosomal RNA". It matches the Rfam family "Bacterial small subunit ribosomal RNA", at positions 29 to 507 of the family's 1533-position model. The record is from RNAcentral.
AUGAACGCUGGCGGCGUGCCUAAUACAUGCCAGUCGAGCGAACGGACGAGAAGCUUGCUUCUCUGAUGUUAGCGGCGGACGGGUGAGUAACACGUGGAUAACCUACCUAUAAGACUGGGAUAACUUCGGGAAACCGUAGCUAAUACCGGAUAAUAUUUUGAACCGCAUGGUUCAAAAGUGAAAGACGGUCUUGCUGUCACUUAUAGAUGGAUCCGCGCUGCAUUAGCUAGUUGGUAAGGUAACGGCUUACCAAGGCAACGAUGCAUAGCUGACCUGAGAGGGUGAUCGGCCACACUGGAACUGAGACACGGUCCAGACUCCUACGGGAGGCAGCAGUAGGGAAUCUUACGCAAUGGGCGAAAGCCUGACGGAGCAACGCCGCGUGAGUGAUGAAGGUCUUCGGAUCGUAAAACUCUGUUAUUAGGGAAGAACAUAUGUGUAAGUAACUGUGCACAUCUUGACGGUACCUAAUCAGAAAGCCACGGCUAACUACGUG